Molecule: ribosomal RNA, 329 nt
Filed under: uncultured Flexibacter sp.
Lineage: Bacteria; Pseudomonadati; Bacteroidota; Cytophagia; Cytophagales; Flexibacteraceae
Description: bacterial SSU rRNA
Rfam family: Bacterial small subunit ribosomal RNA
Source: RNAcentral
UGCGUAGGCGGGCAGGUAAGUCCGUGGUGAAAUCUCCGGGCUUAACCCGGAAACUGCCAUGGAUACUAUUUGUCUUGAAUACUGUGGAGGUGAGCGGAAUAUGUCAUGUAGCGGUGAAAUGCUUAGAUAUGACAUAGAACACCAAUUGCGAAGGCAGCUCACUGCGCAGUGAUUGACGCUGAGGCACGAAAGCGUGGGGAUCAAACAGGAUUAGAUACCCUGGUAGUCCACGCCCUAAACGAUGGAUACUCGACAUACGCGAUAUGACAGCGUGUGUCUGAGCGAAAGCAUUAAGUAUCCCACCUGGGAAGUACGACCGCAAGGUUGAA